RNAcentral lists this long non-coding RNA (1211 nucleotides) under Mus musculus (house mouse). Its description in RNAcentral is "predicted gene, 26740". The record is from RNAcentral. Lineage: Eukaryota; Metazoa; Chordata; Mammalia; Rodentia; Muridae.
GACCAACUCAGCUUCUGAAAAAAAUCCAAACCUGUCCCUGCAGUUUCGGCUGUGCUGUUUCCGGAGUCAAGUAUUGAGGUGGGUUCUGCUGUGACAGGGCUGUUGGAAAGUCGCCCCAAAUCCUGUUGAAGGAGGCUGAUUAGGCCUGGUCUGUGGCAGAAUGGUGCCCAAGCAGGGACCUCUGGACAGGACAGAUGGCAAAUUUGGACACAUUUACAGGAUGACAUGUCAUGCAAUAUUAAAAUGAAAAGUGACUUUGUGUGCUGGUAUAAGAAGAUCUUGAAGAUAGAGAUGACAGACCACCUGGACAAUGCUUCCUGAUCGUUUUUGUUAAAGUCUGGGAUGUCUUUGGCAUCUUCAUCUGCAUACCUUCUUUUGCUGCAGGAACACUCUGCUUGGACUGUCACCCUGAAUUGGGAGGCUCCUGGCACUUUGCCCUUCUGCUUGUUGACAUCCCCUGAAGGAGGAGUUCUCAGGACACAUCAGGUGAAUUCUAGCCAUAACAUCAGGCUCCAAAGAGUUUUCUAGCUAAUAAUGUCCACUAUUGAAGACGUUUCGUUCUUGUCUAUUUGCUGGAUGCCUGGGUUAGCAGAAGCUUGUCUAAGGAGUCACUGCCUGUGUUGAAGUGGGCUCUGCAGUGAAAUAGCUGUUGGGAAGUUACCCAAGCUCCUGUAAGUAACCUCACACUGGACUCCUUAGCAACCCCGAAGGAAGCUCAGUAGAUCCUCAAGUUGAAUGUCUGCACAGUUGGUACUUCAGUCUGCCAUUAAGUUCUAUUUCUGGUGGGUGUGUACGUGUGUGCGUACGUGUGUGUGUGUGUGUGUGUGUGUGUGUGUGUGUGUGUGUGUUACAAAUCUGUUGUUCUUCAGGGAUAACUUCCCCCUUUUGUGUCUCAGGGUGCUCAGUUGGGAGUUCCCUAAUCCUUCCCUCUUCUUACACUUAGCUGCCUGGAGUCAUGGCCUCAGCCAUGGCCUUGUGGAUAUUUUCUAGCUCACAUAAACAAUCCUGAGAGAACAUUCGUGGUCGUAACAGCAAGAAAGUUUAUGGGAAAAGAGGACACUGUGACUGUUGGUUCCAGGAGCUGAAGAUUGCCACCUGACCUUCAGAGAGCCCCCAGUCUCUCCCACUCCCCACCCCCCAUCCCUUGGAGCCUCCUCUUGCUUAUGCUUAUAUUGCCACUCCUGAAUAAAGUUUUCAGAGCUUGAUCAGUA